UACGGAAGGCAGCAGUGGGGAAUAUUGCACAAUGGGCGAAAGCCUGAUGCAGCUAUGCCGCGUGUAUGAAGAAGGCCUUAGGGUUGUAAAGUACUUUCAUCGGGGAGGAAAAACAAAACUAAUAAUUUUAUUUCUUGACGUUACCCGAAAAAGAAGCACCGGCUAACUCCGUGCCAGCAGCCGCGGUAAUACGGAGGGUGCUAGCGUUAAUCAGAAUUACUGGGCGUAAAGAGCACGUAGGUGGUUUUUUUAAGUCAGAUGUGAAAUCCCUGGGCUUAACCUAGGAACUGCAUUUUGAAACUGAAAUACUAGAGUAUCGUAGAGGGAGGUAGAAUUCUAGGUGUAGCGGUGAAAUGCGUAGAUAUCUGGAGGAAUACCUGUGGCGAAAGCGGCCUCCUAAACGAAUACUGACACUGAGGUGCAAAAGCGUGGGGAGCAAACAGGGAUUAGAUACC
RNAcentral lists this ribosomal RNA (455 nucleotides) under uncultured bacterium. RNAcentral describes it as "bacterial SSU rRNA". It matches the Rfam family "Bacterial small subunit ribosomal RNA", at positions 340 to 786 of the family's 1533-position model. The record is from RNAcentral.